RNAcentral lists this ribosomal RNA (183 nucleotides) under Paraburkholderia franconis. RNAcentral's name for it is "Paraburkholderia sp. CNPSo 3157 partial 23S ribosomal RNA". It matches the Rfam family "Bacterial large subunit ribosomal RNA", at positions 2754 to 2925 of the family's 2925-position model. The record is from RNAcentral. Lineage: Bacteria; Pseudomonadati; Pseudomonadota; Betaproteobacteria; Burkholderiales; Burkholderiaceae.
UUCGGAAGAGAUAACCGCUGAAAGCAUCUAAGCGGGAAACUCGCCUUGAGAUGAGAUAUCCCCGGGGCUUCGAGCCCCUUGAAGGGUCGUUCAAGACCAGGACGUUGAUAGGUCAGGUGUGGAAGCGCAGUAAUGCGUUAAGCUAACUGAUACUAAUUGCCCGUAAGGCUUGAUCCUAUAACC